GGGGUUGUGGCUCAGUGGUAGAGCACUUGCCUAACAUGUGUGAGGCACUGGGUUCGAUUCUCAGCACCA
RNAcentral lists this transfer RNA (69 nucleotides) under Urocitellus parryii (Arctic ground squirrel). Its description in RNAcentral is "Spermophilus parryii (Arctic ground squirrel) tRNA". It matches the Rfam family "tRNA". Rfam says of the family: Transfer RNA (tRNA) molecules are approximately 80 nucleotides in length. Their secondary structure includes four short double-helical elements and three loops (D, anti-codon, and T loops). RNAcentral also lists the same sequence under 3 other names. Lineage: Eukaryota; Metazoa; Chordata; Mammalia; Rodentia; Sciuridae. The record is from Rfam by way of RNAcentral.